Long non-coding RNA from Harmonia axyridis, 192 nucleotides. RefSeq lists it as uncharacterized. Lineage: Eukaryota; Metazoa; Arthropoda; Insecta; Coleoptera; Coccinellidae. The transcript has 2 exons. The record is from RefSeq and is a predicted model, not a curated record.
GCCAUAUUUUAUUCCAUCAUUGAAUUAGGCAAAUCGAAAUGAUAAAUAUAAAAAAGUUCUUCACAGAUUGCCAUCAGUAGCAUCUCUGUUCGAAUCAAGAGAAAUCAUAUAUUCUUCUCUCUCUAGGUCUUUCUCCUCUACGAGCUUCUGAAAAAUCACGUGACACUCGGUCCAUGGAUAUUAGGUCUAUGA